This 534-nucleotide ribosomal RNA is filed under the name uncultured Acidobacteriota bacterium. Its description in RNAcentral is "bacterial SSU rRNA". It matches the Rfam family "Bacterial small subunit ribosomal RNA", at positions 8 to 522 of the family's 1533-position model. Lineage: Bacteria; Pseudomonadati; Acidobacteriota. The record is from RNAcentral.
AGAGUUUGAUCAUGGCUCAGAAUGAACGCUGGCGGCGUGCUUAACACAUGCAAGUCGUGCGCGAAGGAGGCUUCGGCCUCUGGAGAGCGGCGAACGGGUGAGUAACACGUGGGUAAUCUGCCUGGGAGCGGGGGAUAACCUGGGGAAACUCGGGCUAAUACCGCAUACGUUGAUGGGACUUUGGUCCUGUCAGGAAAGCUGGCCUCUGCUUGCAAGCUAGCGCUCCCAGAGGAGCCCGCGGCUGAUUAGCUAGUUGGUGAGGUAAUGGCUCACCAAGGCUUCGAUCAGUAGCCGGCCUGAGAGGGUGAUCGGCCACACUGGGACUGAGACACGGCCCAGACUCCUACGGGAGGCAGCAGUGGGGAAUAUUGGACAAUGGGCGCAAGCCUGAUCCAGCAACGCCGCGUGGAGGAUGAAGGUCUUCGGAUCGUAAACUCCUGUCAGAUGGGACGAAGGCGGCGGGGUAAACAAUCCUGCUGUUUGACGGUACCAUCAGAGGAAGCCCCGGCUAACUCCGUGCCAGCAGCCGCGGUA